This 268-nucleotide ribosomal RNA is filed under the name uncultured prokaryote. Its description in RNAcentral is "partial 16S ribosomal RNA". It matches the Rfam family "Bacterial small subunit ribosomal RNA", at positions 524 to 792 of the family's 1533-position model. The record is from RNAcentral.
GACGGAAGGUGCGAAUGUUGUUCGGUGUCACUGGGCAUAAAGGGUGCGUAGGCGCCCGGUCAGUCAUGCGUGAAAGCCCCCGGCUCAACCGGGGAAGUGCGCACGAUACUGCCGGGCUCGAGGACCGCAGGGGUGAGGGGAACUCCAGGUGUAGCGGUGAAAUGCGUAGAUAUCUGGGGGAAGGCCGGAGGCGAAGGCGCCUCACUGGGCGGUUCCUGACGCUGAGGCACGAAAGCUGGGGGAGCAAACAGGAUUAGAUACCCGCGUA